CACCCCUCCAUCCAUCUCCAAACCUUCUUUUCGAGAUAGAUUGCGUUCAACCUCUACUUCGUACUUCUCGACCCCGGCACUCACUUGUGACCGUGGUCGCCAACCCAGCCUCAACCUCCACAUUGGGGAAGCAAAGCCCAAGUUGCAAUCGGUUGAGGUGUAACAUCUCGCCAACACUGCUGCUUGACGCCCAGUUGAAUCCUACCAACCCUCAUUGGGUGAAGGAUACUCAAAUCCUGAUCAUCGGCACCGUCUGCUGUCCAAGGGCAUUUAACACUGCCAGUGAAAGCUUGUCAUCUUGCCCGUGUCAAAAGGGAUCAGUUGCUGCCGUCACAUACCAUUUGACGAUCAGGACUGCCACACCCAAGUCGCAGAGGCAUCUUUGCAUUUGCUUCCUUCUCGGCAUCUCCGACAGGACUCGAACGGCUUCAGAUCCAUCACGUGUUGCCUAGCUUGCAGCCUUGGGAUUCAAGAAGCCCACACCGACCAUUACAAGCCCAGGGUGCCAAACGACACUCCAACCGAUUGACCAUCGACGCGGCGUCUGAACUGUCUUGAGGCCAUACCUGCCAUCCCUCCUUCAUCCUGCUUAAUUCAAAUUCUUCCGAGUACACUCCAAACGUCCAACUUGCAGGGACGUAACGGCAGCUCAAUACUAGUGAGCAGCAACUACCCUGUUACGCAGGGAAAAUCACAAGUGUCAAACACCAGGUGGCAAGAUCAAGGUUCAUCUAA
Non-coding RNA from Neurospora crassa OR74A, 735 nucleotides. NCBI's taxonomy places the organism in Eukaryota, Fungi, Ascomycota, Sordariomycetes, Sordariales, Sordariaceae. The record is from RefSeq and is a predicted model, not a curated record.